UACGUAGGGGGCAAGCGUUGUCCGGAAUUAUUGGGCGUAAAGCGCGCGCAGGCGGGUCAUCAAGUCAGGGGUGAAAGCCCAGAGCUCAACUCUGGAACUGCCCUUGAAACUGGUGACCUUGAGUACGGGAGAGGUGAGUGGAAUUCCCAGUGUAGAGGUGAAAUUCGUAGAUAUUGGGAAGAACACCGGUGGCGAAGGCGGCUCACUGGCCCGUAACUGACGCUCAGGCGCGAUAGCGUGGGGAUCAAACAGG
Molecule: ribosomal RNA, 253 nt
Filed under: uncultured bacterium
Lineage: Bacteria
Description: partial 16S ribosomal RNA
Rfam family: Bacterial small subunit ribosomal RNA
Source: RNAcentral